UAGGGAAUCUUCCGCAAUGGACGAAAGUCUGACAGAGCAACGCCGCGUGAGUGAAGAAGGUUUUCGGAUUGUAAAACUCUGUUGUCAGGGAAGAACACCCUAGAGGGGAUCUAGGACUGACGGUACCUGACGAGAAAGCCCCGGCUAACUACCUG
This 155-nucleotide ribosomal RNA is filed under the name uncultured bacterium. RNAcentral's name for it is "partial 16S ribosomal RNA". It matches the Rfam family "Bacterial small subunit ribosomal RNA", at positions 355 to 507 of the family's 1533-position model. The record is from RNAcentral.